GACGAACGCUGGCGGCGUGCUUAACACAUGCAAGUCGAACGGAAAGGCCCUGCUUUUGUGGGGUGCUCGAGUGGCGAACGGGUGAGUAACACGUGAGUAACCUGCCCUUUACUUUGGGAUAACUUCAGGAAACUGGGGCUAAUACCGGAUAGGAGCUCCUGCUGCAUGGUGGGGGUUGGAAAGUUUCGUCGGUUGGGGAUGGACUCGCGGCUUAUCAGCUUGUUGGUGGGGUAGUGGCUUACCAAGGCUUUGACGGGUAGCCGGCCUGAGAGGGUGACCGGCGACAUUGGGACUGAGAUACGGCCCAGAGUCCUACGGGAGGCAGCAGUGGGGAAUAUUGCAGAAUGGGCGGAAGCCUGAUGCAGGAACGCCGCGUGCGGGAUGACGGCCUUCGGGUUGUAAACCGAUUUCGCAUGUGACGAAGAGUGAGUGACGGUAAUGGGUAAAGAAGCACCGGCUAACUACGUG
RNAcentral lists this ribosomal RNA (468 nucleotides) under uncultured bacterium. RNAcentral's name for it is "partial 16S ribosomal RNA". It matches the Rfam family "Bacterial small subunit ribosomal RNA", at positions 28 to 507 of the family's 1533-position model. The record is from RNAcentral.